UUGCUUUGCGAAUAACAAGAUAUUAUUAUCAGAUAGCGAAUGCAGUUGCACUUCCAAUGCAGUUGAGGAAAUAGUGUCACAGUGAGCAAUGAGUCAAUUAUCAUUCGUGAUUAGAUUUUAUUAGACAAUUGGCCACGUUAUUCUACAAAUUCCAGUUAAUAUUGCUAGAUGAAUUGCGUAUAUGCCAUUUUGAGUUUAAUUUAAAAGUGCAUAGGAAGAUCCAUCAGUUUGAGAUUUUCCAGACGAAUUUUCUGAUUUCUCAACCUUGACCUAUACCUAAGGGGAUGAGAGUAACCUUUCUACGUAACUCAGGCACUAGUUUUUAGGUCCCAGAGGUGAUAGAAUGGUCAUGAUUCUAAUGGAAGAAUUUUCUAGUGCUCUUUCAUAAUUACUUCAUCAUCAACCACUGUUCUGCUUUUUGAAGGAGGUUCAAGGACAACAAAAAUCUACCUGAAAAUGUCUUCAAUUUCCUUCCAGUUUAUGUUGUAAGAUUAGUAAUACUAUAAUUGUAACAAUGAUUAUCAACAUAUUUCACAUCAA
Long non-coding RNA from Harmonia axyridis, 540 nucleotides. RefSeq lists it as uncharacterized. The record is from RefSeq and is a predicted model, not a curated record. Lineage: Eukaryota; Metazoa; Arthropoda; Insecta; Coleoptera; Coccinellidae. The transcript is spliced from 3 exons.